Molecule: transfer RNA, 73 nt
Filed under: Pristionchus pacificus
Lineage: Eukaryota; Metazoa; Nematoda; Chromadorea; Rhabditida; Neodiplogasteridae
Rfam family: tRNA
About the family: Transfer RNA (tRNA) molecules are approximately 80 nucleotides in length.
Source: Rfam by way of RNAcentral
AGGGGUAUAGCUCAGUGGUUAGAGCACCCGCAUACGUAUCGGAAGGUCGGGGGUUCGACUCCCUCUGCCUCCU